Molecule: unclassified non-coding RNA, 348 nt
Filed under: soil metagenome
Description: partial contains 5.8S ribosomal RNA, internal transcribed spacer 2, and large subunit ribosomal RNA
Rfam family: 5.8S ribosomal RNA (bases 1-120)
Source: RNAcentral
GAUGAAGAACGCAGUGAAAUGCGAUACGUAAUGUGAAUUGCAGAAUUCAGUGAAUCAUCGAGUCUUUGAACGCACAUUGCGCCCCCUGGUAUUCCGGGGGGCAUGCCUGUCCGAGCGUCAUUGCUGCCCUCAAGCACGGCUUGUGUGUUGGGCCUCCGCCCCCCGGCUCCCGGGGGGCGGGCCCGAAAGGCAGCGGCGGCACCGCGUCCGGUCCUCGAGCGUAUGGGGCUUCGUCACCCGCUCCGUAGGCCCGGCCGGCGCCCGCCGGCGACCCCCCUCAAUCUUUCCAGGUUGACCUCGGAUCAGGUAGGGAUACCCGCUGAACUUAAGCAUAUCAUAAGCGGAGGA